GGCUCAGAUUGAACGCUGGCGGCAGGCCUAACACAUGCAAGUCGAGCGGUAGCACAGAGAGCUUGCUCUCGGGUGACGAGCGGCGGACGGGUGAGUAAUGUCUGGGAAACUGCCUGAUGGAGGGGGAUAACUACUGGAAACGGUAGCUAAUACCGCAUAACGUCGCAAGACCAAAGUGGGGGACCUUCGGGCCUCAUGCCAUCAGAUGUGCCCAGAUGGGAUUAGCUAGUAGGUGGGGUAAUGGCUCACCUAGGCGACGAUCCCUAGCUGGUCUGAGAGGAUGACCAGCCACACUGGAACUGAGACACGGUCCAGACUCCUACGGGAGGCAGCAGUGGGGAAUAUUGCACAAUGGGCGCAAGCCUGAUGCAGCCAUGCCGCGUGUAUGAAGAAGGCCUUCGGGUUGUAAAGUACUUUCAGCGAGGAGGAAGGCGUUAAGGUUAAUAACCUUGGCGAUUGACGUUACUCGCAGAAGAAGCACCGGCUAACUCCGUGCCAGCAGCCGCGGUAAUACGGAGGGUGCAAGCGUUAAUCGGAAUUACUGGGCGUAAAGCGCACGCAGGCGGUCUGUCAAGUCGGAUGUGAAAUCCCCGGGCUCAACCUGGGAACUGCAUUCGAAACUGGCAGGCUAGAGUCUUGUAGAGGGGGGUAGAAUUCCAGGUGUAGCGGUGAAAUGCGUAGAGAUCUGGAGGAAUACCGGUGGCGAAGGCGGCCCCCUGGACAAAGACUGACGCUCAGGUGCGAAAGCGUGGGGAGCAAACAGGAUUAGAUACCCUGGUAGUCCACGCCGUAAACGAUGUCGACUUGGAGGUUGUGCCCUUGAGGCGUGGCUUCCGGAGCUAACGCGUUAAGUCGACCGCCUGGGGAGUACGGCCGCAAGGUUAAAACUCAAAUGAAUUGACGGGGGCCCGCACAAGCGGUGGAGCAUGUGGUUUAAUUCGAUGCAACGCGAAGAACCUUACCUACUCUUGACAUCCAGAGAACUUAGCAGAGAUGCUUUGGUGCCUUCGGGAACUCUGAGACAGGUGCUGCAUGGCUGUCGUCAGCUCGUGUUGUGAAAUGUUGGGUUAAGUCCCGCAACGAGCGCAACCCUUAUCCUUUGUUGCCAGCGGUCCGGCCGGGAACUCAAAGGAGACUGCCAGUGAUAAACUGGAGGAAGGUGGGGAUGACGUCAAGUCAUCAUGGCCCUUACGAGUAGGGCUACACACGUGCUACAAUGGCAUAUACAAAGAGAAGCGACCUCGCGAGAGCAAGCGGACCUCAUAAAGUAUGUCGUAGUCCGGAUUGGAGUCUGCAACUCGACUCCAUGAAGUCGGAAUCGCUAGUAAUCGUAGAUCAGAAUGCUACGGUGAAUACGUUCCCGGGCCUUGUACACACCGCCCGUCACACCAUGGGAGUGGGUUGCAAAAGAAGUAGGUAGCUUAACCUUCGGGAGGGCGCUUACCACUUUGUGAUUCAUGACUGGGGUGAAUCU
Molecule: ribosomal RNA, 1474 nt
Filed under: Klebsiella aerogenes
Lineage: Bacteria; Pseudomonadati; Pseudomonadota; Gammaproteobacteria; Enterobacterales; Enterobacteriaceae
Description: bacterial SSU rRNA
Rfam family: Bacterial small subunit ribosomal RNA
Source: RNAcentral